This 948-nucleotide ribosomal RNA is filed under the name Triticum aestivum (bread wheat). RNAcentral's name for it is "partial small subunit ribosomal RNA". The record is from RNAcentral. Lineage: Eukaryota; Viridiplantae; Streptophyta; Magnoliopsida; Poales; Poaceae.
AUGGCACGCCGUGGUGCUUCGGUCCACCCCAAUCUCUCCGUGGAGUUCGUCGAGAUCGACACCGAUGGUGAGCUUGACAUCGUCGAUGCGGCCCGAGAGCUGGUUCAGCUUGCUGUCGAGCUUGGCGAGGGCGGCGGACAUCUCCUCACUGCGCUCCGCCAAGCUCUUGGAGAAGGCUGCGUCGAAGUCAGCCCGGAGGAGUUCGUAGAUGGCCUUGGUCUCCGGCGGAAUUCUCUCCAUGGCCUCGGCGCGGCGGCGGUCGGCGAAUCGUUCUGCGCCGUGCGUGCAGUCGUCGGCUUCUUGGAGCGCAUCGGGUUCAUCGGCGUGGGGGGCAACCUGAUCACGUACCUGACCGGCCUGCUGGGCAUGUCAACCGCGGCCGGCGCCGCCGUCGUGAACGCCUGGUCCGGGACCGUGCUGGUGCUGCCGCUCGUCGGUGCGGUAGCCGCCGACUCGCGCCUCGGGCGGUACCGAGCGGUCCUGAUCGCCGGCGCGCUCUACCUGCUGGUCAGUACUAGCACAAACUUCGCCCCCUCCUCUGUUCCGAGCAUCUUGUGUGGUGGAGGUGGCUAUGAAUUUGAUUCCGGCGAGGUCUGGUUCAAUCCCCGUCACGGAAUUGAUUCACUGGCGCGUCAUACAUACAAUGAUAUAAUAACAACAAAAAUCUGGAUCGAUGAUCUCCUUGAGAUUUCAGAAUCCAGACCUGUGCAAUCGGAAGGGGAUGGACAGAUCAGCAGCCAUCCAUGUGACGAGGCUGCUAGUCAAUCUGAGACCAAUAGUAGCCCGACAGAAAAAAUAGGACAAGUUCUAGUAACACUAAAUACAUCAGUUCGACCUUUGACGUCUCAGUCCACUGCCACCAACACCAGCGCAAGUAGUGCGAUGUCGAGUUAUUUAUGCCAAAACCAUCAUGUUGGAGCUAGGUUAACAGGUCGAUACAAUUUCUGA